Dermochelys coriacea (leatherback sea turtle) is the source of this 2619-nucleotide long non-coding RNA. RefSeq lists it as uncharacterized. The transcript has 3 exons. The record is from RefSeq and is a predicted model, not a curated record. NCBI's taxonomy places the organism in Eukaryota, Metazoa, Chordata, Testudines, Dermochelyidae.
GUUUCUAAAGAAGAACAGCAGAAUGUGGUUUAAUUUUACUUGCUUCUCAAUAUUGCAUUUACACAACUUUUUUACUACCUAUUACAAGAGUGUUCAAUAAAAUAUAGCUGUUUUGAUCCCUUAUCUGCAUAUUAGUGAGAGCUCGUGUGUGCACCAAUGACUCCACUCCCAUAAGCAAGUGAGGCUCUUUACAAAUUGAGGAACUAUUAAGAAAAUGCCAGCAUUUACUGUCCCAUUCAUUCAGUGGUCUGCAUUUUACAUUAGGUUCUGUUUUUCCAUCAGCUUUUUUUUUUUUUUUAAAAAUCAUGCUUCCAUCCAAUGUAGUCUUUUAGGCUACCUCUCUCACUGGAGCCAAUAACCUUUGCAACAUUAGCUUCUUCCAUGCUCUCAUAUAUAUAGCUGGCAUUUUAUUUAUAUCAGAACCGUGCACCCAACUGUUCAUGAAAAUGUUAGUGAUGGGAAAGGGGAAUUCCAGUUAAUGAAAAGUCAAAACUGUAUAUUUUUCAUCUUCUGGAAAAGCAUGUGCAUUACAGUAUCUUCAUAAAGCAGAAAGUAGUAAUACUUAGAAAAACCUACUGUCCAUUAAAUUUAGCUAUUUUCACUGUUUAAUAAAAUAAUCUGACACUAAUAAAGUGACAUAUAAAGUGACUCUUAAAUAGUAUGGGUAUAUCAAUUUACAUUUGCUGUGUAUACAAUUCACAUUUUAUUUUACUUGAUUUACAAAAUGUACUUAUAAACCUGAAUCUCCAGAUUUCAUACCAUAGAAACCACUAUUUCGCAUCAAAAGAUAGUGUACAUCAAGUCAUUUUGGCUCUUGGCAACCACAGAAGAAAAUAUAUUCAAAUAAAAUUAGGGUUCAUGUUUGUUAUUCUUUAGCAAAAGCAAAAGAAUUCAAAGUUAAUGAAACUCAGCCCUCCACUGUGCCAAUUCGCCCGAGUUCUGUAGUGGCCAAAUUGUACACACAAUAGUGUACAUGUAUUCCAUGAUACUUAGAUACAAAAGGCUGGCUUUAAAUGCAGGUGUUUUGACUUUAACUCAGUUUAUUAGACUUUUAAUUUGCUAACUGCAAAUCUAAUCAUUUUACAUUGUAAAUAAAGCUCAUGCAAGUAUAACAGCUGACUCCAAAAUAGUAACUCUGAAUUGACGGUUAAAAACAUGAUUAGUGAUCAAACCAAGGUCUAGUCUUUUCUGUUUACAUAAUCUGAAUGCCAAUUGAAACUUAUAGUUAGUAUAGUCAGAAACUGGACUAGUGUCACCUCCCCCCCCCACGGAACAAAUUGGGAAAACUAGAAUUUAAUUAGAGUACAUUUUUUUUCAGUGUUUAGAAUUAAAGGUUGCCAACACCCAUUCAAAGAAUAUCUGUUUUUUUCUGCACUUGUCACACUACAUAAAAACCUUAAAACAAUGGAAUAAUUCAAUAAAGAAACAAUAGGGAACAGGUCUCAAAACAAAGCUUAUUUGUGCCUUUAUCCCUUUUAGAAUAAUUUAACUAAGUUUUAUUUCUUUGUUUCUUUUCAACCAAUGUAAGAAAAUACCUGUGAAAAGCAUUUGUUUUUAAUUUGGUAAAAUCAAACAGCUAACUUUGCCAAAUGGAACCAAAGCUUAUUCAAAAGUAGACUACACACCAUCUCAAUAUUGUACAAGCCAGAAGUUUCAGAGGGUGUCUUAACAAUUCAAAAACAACAUUAGAAAUACCGUUAAAGGCAAUAUAUAGGUUAGAUAGCAUAGCCUCCAGUGGACACAAGAUAUCUACAAUAAAAUGUCUAUUUUAAUAAAUACUUCAUUAGCAACAGCAGUGUUGAGCAUCUCAAAACAAUUUUAAGAAAAUGUGCUGUUAUUUUUCCAUCAGAAUUGGCAACAUUGAAGCUAAUUUCAUUUCAACUAACAAUCAUCAAUAGACAACAAAUUUAAACAUAAGAACUUUUUGGAGAUAUUUUCUCAGAUACACUCAAAUUAAGAUCUCAUCUACACUAGGAAAUAGGAACAUGUUUUCAAACUAAUAUGAUGCUAAAUAUGCUUUUGUUGGCAGUGUGGACAGAGAUCCUAGGGAUAACCGGAAUCAGAAAACACAUUUUUAAUCACAACUGUCCAUGUCCGUAGAAAGGGCAAAUCUUGUUUAACGUCACAUUAGCUAAAACAUUUUCUAACACCAUGCUAUUUCCUAAACAAGCAAGGCUUAAAAGGGACCUGCAAUGAUGCACAGAUCCCACUGAUUAAACAUAGGGUCACCAAAACAAAGACACCUUGGGAGAUGCCAGCAAGGAAACUAAAGUACUAUUUAUGGGGUUAUAGCAAUGAAGCAGUAAUUACUUCUGGGGCAUAUAGCCCUGCUGGAGUAUGAUCCUGAGGUGCUAGACUGGCAGCAUUCUACGCUCUCCUAUGUGCCACAAUCCCUUAAAGGUAACUGCAGGGUCAAUGGCCAAGUUUCUUCAAAACUUCCCCCACCCUCACUUUUCUUUGUUGGUUUGAGGACUGAAUGUCAACACAUAUCAGUGCUACAACUUGAGGACUGGGAUAUAGACUCCAUGAUUCUAAAACGGAGAAGUGAAAUGUUAACAAGUCAAAACUGACAGCCUCCUUGCAUAUUGACUUCCUGAUACAAUUCCUUUGUGGAAUUCC